UUAGUUCUGGGCUGUUUUAGGCAAAAGACAGACAGAGAGGAGGGUCGGUGGUAAGGGAAGGUGGUGGUGGGGGGGCAUUGAGGCAGUUGGUUAAACCAAAAAAAGAGAGAGAGAAAAAAAUCACUGCAACGAUGCAACGGAGGCGACUCGAAGCCCUUGCACGGAGUUGGAGAGGCAAAAUUAUUGUACAUUGCAUGCACUCCACGUAACGCUCCUGAGCGAUGCCUUUGUGAGUGUUUUUUUCUUACUGCGAGCUAAAAAUAGCAUCAGUGUUUGAUCGCGCUCCAGAAAUAGGCAGAGGGGGUAACACUUGUAUAAAAAGGACUGCAAUUCUGAGAAACCUUGGACGUGUUGCUGAGCCAGGGCUCUCUGCACCGGUGGACAAAACAAUGAGAAGUUUCUUCACUGCCUUCUUCAGAUGCUGCCAGAUCUUCUCAGGCCAUCCGACACCUCACUUGUGCUCCUUCAUCCACAUUAUUCUCACCUGCCUCUACUGGAUCUGUAAUAAAAACAGAAUGGACGUUACACUCGUCUUAGCCUGGAGGUAUUGAAAAGGAGCUUGAAAAGAAGAGUGCAUCUUCAACACUGAGAUUAGUGUGAUUCUGUGCUGGAUGAGCAGACCUUGGAGCCUGAGGAGCCACCUGUUUUCUGCUUCUGUCUCCGCAUAAUGGCCAAUGGACAGUACAGUACAGACAAGGACAAUGGACUCUUUAUUAUAUUGAUAUUUGUGAGUGAGAAGAGGCCCAGACCAGAGCAGGACGGAUGCAGUACCAUGCCGUGUUUCUGCAGGGAGGAGAGAAGAGAGGGACGGAGGAUAAGGGCGUGUGCUGAGAUCCAGAAUAAAAUGGAUGAAUCAGUUAUCACAACAAACUGGUAUAAAAUUAGAAAAAAAGUACACAAGAAGUUGGAUCCCUCCUGAUCAAUCCACUGGUUUUUGUUGCUUGCCUGUAAAGGAUAUUUCACCUGCUUAUUCAAGGAGAAGAUGAUACAGUAAGGUAUUUAAACAUCCGUUGUUUUAAGGCAUUUAAACGUCCGUUGUUUUGUGUUUAGGGUGCAGGGGCGCAGUGCUUGAGUUUUUUCCAGGAAACUCUCGUUUCACAUGAGGUUGAUAAAGUUUUCUUGUGAUUUCAGAUCAGGGUGAAUAGCAGGAACAGCUCACUGGUCUGUAAGAAAUAAAUUCAUAAAGGCUCUUAGGACUAUUUACAAGUAUUUUCUGGGCAUUGUCUUCUGUAGUUGUGAUGUGACAGCUGACGCGCUGUAAACUUAUUACAUCAAUCUGUCACUAAGCUGUGUUGUAACUCCAGACUGCGAGAGCAGCUCUGUUACAGCUGUGCUGUAGAAUAUUAUUAUAAUUUUAGAAUUGUGGUAUAUAUAGCUAGCAGGAGGUUUUGUAGCUUUUCUGACCAUGUGUUUAUAGAGGAGGUGAAAAGAUACGGACAUGCUGACUACCGUGAGCAGGCAUUUCA
Pygocentrus nattereri (red-bellied piranha) is the source of this 1466-nucleotide long non-coding RNA. RefSeq lists it as uncharacterized. The record is from RefSeq and is a predicted model, not a curated record. The transcript is spliced from 8 exons. NCBI's taxonomy places the organism in Eukaryota, Metazoa, Chordata, Actinopteri, Characiformes, Serrasalmidae.